AGAGUUUGAUCAUGGCUCAGGACGAACGCUGGCGGCACGCUUAACACAUGCAAGUCGAACGAGAGAAGAGGAGCUUGCUUUUCUGAUCUAGUGGCGGACGGGUGAGUAACACGUGAGCAAUCUGCCUUUCAGAGGGGGAUACCGAUUGGAAACGAUCGUUAAUACCGCAUAACAUAAUUGAACCGCAUGAUUUGAUUAUCAAAGAUUUAUCGCUGAAAGAUGAGCUCGCGUCUGAUUAGCUAGUUGGUAAGGUAACGGCUUACCAAGGCGACGAUCAGUAGCCGGACUGAGAGGUUGAUCGGCCACAUUGGGACUGAGACACGGCCCAGACUCCUACGGGAGGUAGCAGUGGGGAAUAUUGCACAAUGGAGGAAACUCUGAUGCAGCGAUGCCGCGUGAGGGAAGAAGGUUUUAGGAUUGUAAACCUCUGUCUUCAGGGACGAAAAAAGACGGUACCUGAGGAGGAAGCUCCGGCUAACUACGUGCCAGCAGCCGCGGUAAUACGUAGGGAGCGAGCGUUGUCCGGAAUUACUGGGUGUAAAGGGAGCGUAGGCGGGAUCGCAAGUCAGAUGUGAAAACUAUGGGCUUAACCCAUAAACUGCAUUUGAAACUGUGGUUCUUGAGUGAAGUAGAGGUAAGCGGAAUUCCUAGUGUAGCGGUGAAAUGCGUAGAUAUUAGGAGGAACAUCAGUGGCGAAGGCGGCUUACUGGGCUUUAACUGACGCUGAGGCUCGAAAGCGUGGGGAGCAAACAGGAUUAGAUACCCUGGUAGUCCACGCCGUAAACGAUGAUUACUAGGUGUGGGGGGACUGACCCCUUCCGUGCCGCAGCAAACGCAAUAAGUAAUCCACCUGGGGAGUACGACCGCAAGGUUGAAACUCAAAGGAAUUGACGGGGGCCCGCACAAGCAGUGGAGUAUGUGGAUUAAUUCGAAGCAACGCGAAGAACCUUACCAGGUCUUGACAUCGUAUGCAUAGCUCAGAGAUGAGUGAAAUCUCUUCGGAGACAUAUAGACAGGUGGUGCAUGGUUGUCGUCAGCUCGUGUCGUGAGACGUUGGGUUAAGUCCCGCAACGAGCGCAACCCUUAUCUCUAGUAGCCAGCGGUUCGGCCGGGCACUCUAGAGAGACUGCCAGGGAUAACCUGGAGGAGGGCGGGGAUGACGUCAAAUCAUCAUGCCCCUUAUGCUUAGGGCUACACACGUGCUACAAUGGGUGGUACAGAGGGCAGCAAAGUCGUGAGGCCAAGCUAAUCCCUUAAAGCCAUUCUCAGUUCGGAUUGUAGGCUGAAACUCGCCUACAUGAAGCUGGAGUUACUAGUAAUCGCAGAUCAGAAUGCUGCGGUGAAUGCGUUCCCGGGUCUUGUACACACCGCCCGUCACACCAUGGGAGUUGGGGGCGCCCGAAGCCGGCUAGCUAACCUUUUGGAAGCGGUCGUCGAAGGUGAAACCAAUAACUGGGGUGAAGUCGUACAAGGUA
RNAcentral lists this ribosomal RNA (1475 nucleotides) under metagenome. RNAcentral describes it as "bacterial SSU rRNA". It matches the Rfam family "Bacterial small subunit ribosomal RNA". The record is from RNAcentral.